UACGUAGGGGGCAAGCGUUGUCCGGAUUUAUUGGGCGUAAAGAGCGUGUAGGCGGCUAGAUAGGUCCGUUGUGAAAACUCGAGGCUCAACCUCGAGACGUCGAUGGAAACCAUCUAGCUAGAGUCCGGAAGAGGAGAGUGGAAUUCCUGGUGUAGCGGUGAAAUGCGCAGAUAUCAGGAAGAACACCCGUGGCGAAGGCGGCUCUCUGGUACGUGACUGACGCUGAGACGCGAAAGCGUGGGGAGCGAACAGG
RNAcentral lists this ribosomal RNA (253 nucleotides) under uncultured bacterium. RNAcentral's name for it is "partial 16S ribosomal RNA". It matches the Rfam family "Bacterial small subunit ribosomal RNA", at positions 524 to 776 of the family's 1533-position model. The record is from RNAcentral.